This 495-nucleotide ribosomal RNA is filed under the name uncultured bacterium. RNAcentral's name for it is "partial 16S ribosomal RNA". It matches the Rfam family "Bacterial small subunit ribosomal RNA", at positions 28 to 507 of the family's 1533-position model. The record is from RNAcentral.
GACGAACGCUGGCGGCGUGCCUAAUACAUGCAAGUAGAACGCUGAAGGAGGAGCUUGCUUCUCUGGAUGAGUUGCGAACGGGUGAGUAACGCGUAGGUAACCUGCCUGGUAGCGGGGGAUAACUAUUGGAAACGAUAGCUAAUACCGCAUAAUAGUAGAUGUUGCAUGACAUUUGCUUAAAAGGUGCAAUUGCAUCACUACCAGAUGGACCUGCGUUGUAUUAGCUAGUUGGUGGGGUAACGGCUCACCAAGGCGACGAUACAUAGCCGACCUGAGAGGGUGAUCGGCCACACUGGGACUGAGACACGGCCCAGACUCCUACGGGAGGCAGCAGUAGGGAAUCUUCGGCAAUGGACGGAAGUCUGACCGAGCAACGCCGCGUGAGUGAAGAAGGUUUUCGGAUCGUAAAGCUCUGUUGUAAGAGAAGAACGAGUGUGAGAGUGGAAAGUUCACACUGUGACGGUAUCUUACCAGAAAGGGACGGCUAACUACGCG